RNAcentral lists this ribosomal RNA (162 nucleotides) under uncultured bacterium. Its description in RNAcentral is "partial 16S ribosomal RNA". It matches the Rfam family "Bacterial small subunit ribosomal RNA", at positions 393 to 539 of the family's 1533-position model. The record is from RNAcentral.
CAUGCCGCGUGUAUGAAGAAGGCCUUCGGGUUGUAAAGUACUUUCAGCGGGGAGGAAGGGAGUAAAGUUAAUACCUUUGCUCAUUGACGUUACCCGCGGAAGAAGCACCGGCUAACUCCGUGCCAGCACCGUCGGUGACUGAGCGGGCUGGCAAGGCGCAUA